AAACCUCAACCCCUCGGGUUUUGUAACCUGGGUGGGUUUGGACUUGGGUGUCUGCCGGACUUUGGUCUGGCUCACCUCAAAUGAGUUAGUGGGACAGCGAACCCAUGGCUUGACGUAAUAAGUUUCGUCUGAGCCUGGUCGUGGUGCCUGCUUACAACAACCAUAUCUUAUGA
Molecule: unclassified non-coding RNA, 173 nt
Filed under: uncultured Tremellales
Lineage: Eukaryota; Fungi; Basidiomycota; Tremellomycetes; Tremellales
Description: sequence contains ITS2
Source: RNAcentral